RNAcentral lists this ribosomal RNA (544 nucleotides) under Pseudonocardia sp. RNAcentral describes it as "bacterial SSU rRNA". It matches the Rfam family "Bacterial small subunit ribosomal RNA", at positions 158 to 716 of the family's 1533-position model. The record is from RNAcentral. Lineage: Bacteria; Bacillati; Actinomycetota; Actinomycetes; Pseudonocardiales; Pseudonocardiaceae.
UGGGUCUAAUACCGGAUAUGACCUGCUGUUGCAUGACGGUGGGUGGAAAGUUUUUCGGCUGAGGAUGGGCCCGCGGCCUAUCAGCUUGUUGGUGGGGUGAUGGCCUACCAAGGCGACGACGGGUAGCCGGCCUGAGAGGGCGACCGGCCACACUGGGACUGAGAUACGGUCCAGAUACAUACGGGAGGCAGCAGUGGGGAAUAUUGCGCAAUGGGCGAAAGCCUGACGCAGCGACGCCGCGUGGGGGAUGACGGCCUUCGGGUUGUAAACCUCUUUCGACCGGGACGAAGGGUGACUGACGGUACCGGUAGAAGAAGCACCGGCCAACUACGUGCCAGCAGCCGCGGUAAUACGUAGGGUGCGAGCGUUGUCCGGAAUUAUUGGGCGUAAAGAGCUCGUAGGCGGUGUGUCGCGUCGGUCGUGAAAACUUGGGGCUCAACCCUGAGCGUGCGGUCGAUACGGGCAUCACUUGAGUUCGGCAGGGGAGACUGGAAUUCCUGGUGUAGCGGUGAAAUGCGCAGAUAUCAGGAGGAACACCGGUGGC